UGUUCUAAGCUGUAGAACACGUCUAGAUGUAAAUAUCAGGAAAUAAAAGAUGCAAGAUGUGAGCUGUACAUCUACAUCAGCUCUGAAAAAAGUCUCGCCUCAGGCAGAAAAACUUCUGCAGCCAACUGGGAAAGAAGCUGAGGUGUGCAGCGUGUGCCGCGUCCAUACCAAACCCCAGGAAGAGGAAAAAAGCUUCGGUGUGUUCAGCGUCCAUCUAAAGCGGAGUGCUGGAGCGAACGCUGAGAGAUCCAACUGAGGAAUAAAAGUUUAGACGAACGUGAGGUCUGCAGUCAUCUUUUGGACAUAGAGACUUCUCCAGCGCAUUUUCAAAGUCUUCCAGCGUCACGUCAUUGAAGAGGCAGCGGGUGCAAGUACGAGAAAACGUGAGCGAGAGAAAAUGACUAAAGCAUGAACUCAGAACAUAAACGCUGGAGCACAAGUAAACAGGCAGACUAGAGCAUGCUGUGGAACACAUGAAUACACAAACAGUAGCUUGACAAUGAGUUGCUCAAACACUAGAAUGUAAACAGUGGGUAUUUAAAGUGUACUUAAAAUAAAAGUGUACUUAAAGCGUACUUCUUUCCUAUUUGGAAUUUUCACACUGCUCGCACUAUUUAUACGACAAAACGGCAUAAUUAGUCCGCAAGCACGCGAAUUGGGACGCACCUCGUUUUGUUUUUUUAAAUCCGUUACGCCGGUAAAAAGUUUGCUAAAAAGUUUCUCGUUCGUUUGUUAUAAUAUAAGAUCAAAUGCUUUCUCUCUGUAAUUGCGGAAACGUGUGCAAAGCUGCGACGAUGUAGCGAGAGCUGUAAGAUGGACGACGAUGAGUCUAGAGUAUGUUGCAUGUCACAUGACCAGGUCACUAAUCAUGCUCACCUGUGUCUCAUUAUGUCUUGUUAGCACCACUGCUUCAGUUCCAGAUUUAUUGGUCAAGUUUGUGGUUUGUUGCGAGUCCUCAAUGUUCUCGCUUAUACGGUAGUGUGUAUGUUUCUUACCUCAUAUCUGUAGGUACUGUUUUGUUCGUACUUUCCACGAUAAACGACCCGCGCUUGCGUCCGUCUCCAGCUACCGGUUCGUGCCGAGGUGAUAAACGGGAGUGUGUCGUUUGUUUAAGUCCACGCAGUAGGUUAUGUAUUAAUGGUGUAAAAUUGUGAGGUGGACUGUCUGGCAAGAUUUUCGCAUUUCAGCCAGCGCCUGUACUGUGUAAUUGCGAAGCAGCUGAGCCAAGCGUCUUGGUGCUUUAACAAGAACCUCAAUGAAUGAGUCAUCGUGCUCCAAAGGAAAAAAGGACAAAAAUAACUAAUCAGUGUGCAGUCUGCACCACACGCGUCUCACGUUCUGUACGCAAGAAAUGUACGGAAGUUUCACAUCCAGCCGAGUCUUCCCACGAUGAACUCGUAUAACCCUGCUGAAUGAAAGCUUAUUUACAGCUACACAGCCAAUCAGAGACGAGUAUUGCCAUUUGGCCGUGCUGUAGAAUAUCUUCCGACAGCUUUAUAUUUACAUUAAACACACCAACUAGAUUGAAAUUGUAUUUAGAACUGCUAUAAACAUGCCACAAUGCAUCAAUGGAAACCGUACAUAAGCUGACGUAUGCAAAUUCACAUCCUUCAUGUUUGUUAAUGCAUUCAGCAAAAGUGUUGAUGCUUGUCGUCAUGGCUACAAAGUAUCAUGACUCUGGUCGCACCGGCCAGCCAAUCAGAAGCGAGCGAUUGCAUUUGGCUGCGGUCUGGAAUACCCUAGGAUGGCUUUAUAAGUGCUGUAAAUAGGGUAACAUUGGCAAGAUGAUGUAAGAUGUUGUGGCGUUAUACAUUGUAUGUUAACGUUACUAUGACACUGUUGCGUCACUGGAUGUAAACAUAUGAGAGUGUUGUUCAUGACGUGGUUAUAAUGUGGUUUAGUCACUCUAAUGAUGCAGAGGUCGAGUAAAGUAUAACUGUGUGUAUAUGUAUGUAUGUAUGUCUGAUUAUAAUAAUAAAUGUAUUCUUAGCUUUGUCCCCAAAAUACCAGAAAUUAGCAGUAAAAAAAUAAAAAUGUGGUGACUGCAAAGAAAGGACAUUUUGAGAAUGUAAUUAAUUCCAGUGAAG
This is a long non-coding RNA of Ictalurus punctatus (channel catfish), 2087 nucleotides long. The record is from Ensembl. NCBI's taxonomy places the organism in Eukaryota, Metazoa, Chordata, Actinopteri, Siluriformes, Ictaluridae.